This 618-nucleotide ribosomal RNA is filed under the name Bacillus sp. PH2. RNAcentral describes it as "bacterial SSU rRNA". It matches the Rfam family "Bacterial small subunit ribosomal RNA", at positions 349 to 957 of the family's 1533-position model. RNAcentral also lists the same sequence under 6 other names. Lineage: Bacteria; Bacillati; Bacillota; Bacilli; Caryophanales; Bacillaceae. The record is from RNAcentral.
CAGCAGUAGGGAAUCUUCCGCAAUGGACGAAAGUCUGACGGAGCAACGCCGCGUGAGUGAUGAAGGCUUUCGGGUCGUAAAACUCUGUUGUUAGGGAAGAACAAGUGCUAGUUGAAUAAGCUGGCACCUUGACGGUACCUAACCAGAAAGCCACGGCUAACUACGUGCCAGCAGCCGCGGUAAUACGUAGGUGGCAAGCGUUAUCCGGAAUUAUUGGGCGUAAAGCGCGCGCAGGUGGUUUCUUAAGUCUGAUGUGAAAGCCCACGGCUCAACCGUGGAGGGUCAUUGGAAACUGGGAGACUUGAGUGCAGAAGAGGAAAGUGGAAUUCCAUGUGUAGCGGUGAAAUGCGUAGAGAUAUGGAGGAACACCAGUGGCGAAGGCGACUUUCUGGUCUGUAACUGACACUGAGGCGCGAAAGCGUGGGGAGCAAACAGGAUUAGAUACCCUGGUAGUCCACGCCGUAAACGAUGAGUGCUAAGUGUUAGAGGGUUUCCGCCCUUUAGUGCUGAAGUUAACGCAUUAAGCACUCCGCCUGGGGAGUACGGCCGCAAGGCUGAAACUCAAAGGAAUUGACGGGGGCCCGCACAAGCGGUGGAGCAUGUGGUUUAAUUCGAAGC